RNAcentral lists this ribosomal RNA (500 nucleotides) under uncultured bacterium. RNAcentral's name for it is "partial 16S ribosomal RNA". It matches the Rfam family "Bacterial small subunit ribosomal RNA", at positions 30 to 523 of the family's 1533-position model. The record is from RNAcentral.
AUUGAACGCUGGCGGCAUGCCUUACACAUGCAAGUCGAACGGCAGCACGGGAGCAAUCCUGGUGGCGAGUGGCGAACGGGUGAGUAAAGUAUCGGAACGUGCCCAGUCGUGGGGGAUAACGUAGCGAAAGUUACGCUAAUACCGCAUACGAUCUAUGGAUGAAAGCGGGGGAUCGCAAGACCUCGCGCGAUUGGAGCGGCCGAUAUCAGAUUAGGUAGUUGGUGGGGUAAAGGCCCACCAAGCCGACGAUCUGUAGCUGGUCUGAGAGGACGACCAGCCACACUGGGACUGGGCCACGGCCCAGACUCCUACGGGAGGCAGCAGUGGGGAAUUUUGGACAAUGGGCGAAAGCCUGAUCCAGCCAUGCCGCGUGCAGGAUGAAGGCCUUCGGGUUGUAAACUGCUUUUGUACGGAACGAAAAGGACUGCCCUAAUACGGUGGUCCCAUGACGGUACCGUAAGAAUAAGCACCGGCUAACUACGUGCCAGCAGCCGCCGUAA